RNAcentral lists this ribosomal RNA (480 nucleotides) under uncultured bacterium. RNAcentral describes it as "bacterial SSU rRNA". It matches the Rfam family "Bacterial small subunit ribosomal RNA", at positions 30 to 506 of the family's 1533-position model. The record is from RNAcentral.
UUGAACGCUGGCGGUAUGCUUUACACAUGCAAGUCGAACGGGCUAUGGGGCUUGCUCCAUAGUUAGUGGCGAACGGGUGAGUAAUAUAUCGGAACAUGUCCGGAAGUGGGGGAUAACGUAGCGAAAGUUACGCUAAUACCGCAUAUGCCCUGAGGGGGAAAGUGGGGGAUCGCAAGACCUCACGCUUUCGGAGUGGCCGAUAUCGGAUUAGCUAGUUGGUGGGGUAAAGGCCCACCAAGGCGACGAUCCGUAGCUGGUCUGAGAGGACGACCAGCCACACUGGGACUGAGACACGGCCCAGACUCCUACGGGAGGCAGCAGUGGGGAAUUUUGGACAAUGGGGGCAACCCUGAUCCAGCCAUGCCGCGUGAGUGAAGAAGGCCUUCGGGUUGUAAAGCUCUUUCGGACGGAAAGAAACGGUCACGGCCAAUACCCGUGGCUAAUGACGGUACCGUCAGAAGAAGCACCGGCUAACUACGU